AGUGAACGCUGGCGGUAGGCCUAACACAUGCAAGUCGAACGGCAGCACAGAGGAGCUUGCUCCUUGGGUGGCGAGUGGCGGACGGGUGAGGAAUACAUCGGAAUCUACUCUGUCGUGGGGGAUAACGUAGGGAAACUUACGCUAAUACCGCAAACGACCUAAGGGUGAAAGCAGGGGAUCUUCGGACCUUGCGCGAUUGAAUGAGCCGAUGUCGGAUUAGCUAGUUGGCGGGGUAAAGGCCCACCAAGGCGACGAUCCGUAGCUGGUCUGAGAGGAUGAUCAGCCACACUGGAACUGAGACACGGUCCAGACUCCUACGGGAGGCAGCAGUGGGGAAUAUUGGACAAUGGGCGCAAGCCUGAUCCAGCCUUACCGCGUGGGUGAAGAAGGCCUUCGGGUUGUAAAGCCCUUUUGUUGGGAAAGAAAUCCGUCUGGUUAAUACCCGGAUGGGAUGACGGUACCCAAAGAAUAAGCACCGGCUAACUUCGUGCCAGCCGCCGCCGUAA
This 506-nucleotide ribosomal RNA is filed under the name uncultured bacterium. Its description in RNAcentral is "partial 16S ribosomal RNA". It matches the Rfam family "Bacterial small subunit ribosomal RNA", at positions 29 to 523 of the family's 1533-position model. The record is from RNAcentral.